GGCCGUGUGGCGUAAUGGCAGCGCGUCUGACUACGAUUCAUCGGUCAUCAGGAGGCUGCAGGUUCGACCCCUGCCUCGGUCA
RNAcentral lists this transfer RNA (82 nucleotides) under Hirsutella minnesotensis 3608. It matches the Rfam family "tRNA". Rfam says of the family: Transfer RNA (tRNA) molecules are approximately 80 nucleotides in length. Their secondary structure includes four short double-helical elements and three loops (D, anti-codon, and T loops). Lineage: Eukaryota; Fungi; Ascomycota; Sordariomycetes; Hypocreales; Ophiocordycipitaceae. The record is from Rfam by way of RNAcentral.